UAUAGGUUCGUUGGUGAGCCCGUAAAACCAACAUAGGUUUUUGGUGAACCCGAAAAACUAAAGUGUAAAGGUUUUUGGAUUGUGAGCCCGGAAAACAAUCCAACUGUAAUCCGCGGGAUUAUAGUGAAUUCCCAAGGGGUCGCUUGGGGAGUGGACGUAGGUGCUAAGGAGAGCACCGAACCACUAUACUUCUUGUUGUUUGUAUUGUGAUUUGUUUAAGUUCACUAACUCAUCAUUUAACAUAAGUAAGAUAGUUAAAAUUAAAAGAAACCAAUUCAC
Molecule: long non-coding RNA, 279 nt
Filed under: Phoenix dactylifera (date palm)
Lineage: Eukaryota; Viridiplantae; Streptophyta; Magnoliopsida; Arecales; Arecaceae
Description: long non-coding RNA (PDAC_LNC003247)
Source: RNAcentral